UGGCGAACGGGUGAGUAACACUGGGCAACCUGCCCAAAAGAGGGGGAUAACACUUGGAAACAGGUGCUAAUACCGCAUAACCAUAGUUACCGCAUGGUAACUAUGUAAAAGGUGGCUAUGCUACCGCUUUUGGAUGGGCCCGCGGCGCAUUAGCUAGUUGGUGGGGUAAAGGCUUACCAAGGCAAUGAUGCGUAGCCGAACUGAGAGGUUGAUCGGCCACAUUGGGACUGAGACACGGCCCAAACUCCUACGGAAGGCAGCAG
RNAcentral lists this ribosomal RNA (263 nucleotides) under uncultured bacterium. RNAcentral describes it as "partial 16S ribosomal RNA". It matches the Rfam family "Bacterial small subunit ribosomal RNA", at positions 96 to 354 of the family's 1533-position model. The record is from RNAcentral.